UACGUAGGGUCCGAGCGUUGUCCGGAAUUACUGGGCGUAAAGAGCUCGUAGGUGGUUUGUCGCGUUGUUCGUGAAAACUCACAGCUCAACUGUGGGCGUGCGGGCGAUACGGGCAGACUUGAGUACUGCAGGGGAGACUGGAAUUCCUGGUGUAGCGGUGGAACGCGCAGAUAUCAGGAGGAACACCGGUGGCGAAGGCGGGUCUCUGGGCAGUAACUGACGCUGAGGAGCGAAAGCGUGGGGAGCGAACAGG
This 253-nucleotide ribosomal RNA is filed under the name uncultured bacterium. Its description in RNAcentral is "partial 16S ribosomal RNA". It matches the Rfam family "Bacterial small subunit ribosomal RNA", at positions 524 to 776 of the family's 1533-position model. The record is from RNAcentral.